ACAUUCAAUAAGGGAACACUUCGUUAGA
Molecule: small RNA, 28 nt
Filed under: Bombyx mori (domestic silkworm)
Lineage: Eukaryota; Metazoa; Arthropoda; Insecta; Lepidoptera; Bombycidae
Description: ovarian small RNA-11186
Source: RNAcentral